Molecule: long non-coding RNA, 1395 nt
Filed under: Homo sapiens (human)
Lineage: Eukaryota; Metazoa; Chordata; Mammalia; Primates; Hominidae
Description: non-protein coding lnc-ZACN-3:2
Source: RNAcentral
GGCCAUUUUGAGCGUGGCUGGGAAGAGAAGUGUAUUCGGAUGCUGCAAGGGACCUCGACGCGGGUUCCUUGCCUCAGCAGAGGUUUUCGAUCGGCCUUAUGUCCCGCGGCUGGCAGGACACUUAGAGCUCACUUGCUGUUUUCGUUGAAAGACCGACCCUUUUGAUAAAGACUGCUGGGGAAGGCGACGAAUUCCUUUCCCCAGGUCGCAUUCUAUGGGCAGGCACCAAGGCCAAUUGCGUUUCCCACAAAGCCCCGCACGGAGCAGGUGACACAGUAGAUGCCUAACGUGUGUCCAUGUAAUGAACCAGGGGCUUGUGUACUUGUUUCCGCCUUCCACCCUGCAUUACGCAAAAACGUAUCCUGUGGGCUGGCGGGGCUGCUCCGGAGCUCCAGGCCCAGACCCAGCGUCCAACUGCAGCUCCAGGGGACGGGGUGGGGGGCGCCCCUGGAUCAACUUCCCUGCGGGGCUGGAUGUUGUGGUUGCAGACCCAGCUCCUGCAAAACCUCGAGUUACUCCUUCCUCUAACCCGUCCCUGCCCACCCUGCCUCUGGCCCCCAGCCUUGAGAAAGGACAAGGCCGACCAGCUUGGUUCAGUCCUUCUGUGGCCUCAGUGUCCAGACACCCGGAAGAUAGACAAGGAGGCAUGUGCUGGUAGAUGAGAAGGUUUGGGGCGGGCAGGGGGGACACCAAGCUUUUUUUUUCCUUUCUUUUCUUUUGAGAGAGAGUCUCACUCUGUCGCCCAGGCUGGAGUGCAAGUGGCACGAUCUUGGCUCAUUGCAGUCUCUGCCUCCCGGGUUCAAGUGAUUCUCGUGCCUCAGCGUCCCGAGUAGCUGGGAUUACAGGCGGCUGCCAACACGCCCGGCUAAUUUUUUUGUAUUAUUAGUAGAGACAGGGUUUCGCCAUGUUGCCCAGGCUAGUCUCGAACUCCUGACCUCAAGUGAUCCACCCGCCUUGGCCUUCCAAAGUCCUGAGAUUACAGGCGUGAGCCCCUGCUCCCGGCCUAAGGAGAGAAGGAGAGAAGGAAGAACCCAAGCUCUAGGGUUCCCAAGCGCUCACUCCACCCAUAGUCACCCGAAGAGGAGGAGGAGGAGGAAGUGGGUGCACAGAGCCUGGAGAGGGAUGGGCAGCCUUCCCUCAGGCAAGAGGACAAUUUCAAUCCUGUUGUAGGUGGGGGAGAUAAAAGGCUGAUUCCUGUGUCAGGAAAUACCCAGGAUGAUUUCGCUGACAUGGUCCUUGUGUAGUCCAAAGGGCUAAGUAGGAGAAAGUUUAAACUGUUAGAUGUCACAGAAUAGAGUAGCGGGGCUAGUUAGCCGCUGUAGAGAGGGUGUUUUGGGCUCAGGUGGACUACCUUUGAGGGCCUGGUCCAGCAUUUAACCUGAGUCUCUCUCUCUC